AAGGUACCAUUAGGUGUUCACAUAAUUAAUGUUGUGAACACAGCUGGUGGUAUCUUUU
This 58-nucleotide microRNA precursor is filed under the name Magallana gigas (Pacific oyster). RNAcentral's name for it is "Mgi-Mir-317-P2_pre stem-loop". The record is from RNAcentral. Lineage: Eukaryota; Metazoa; Mollusca; Bivalvia; Ostreida; Ostreidae.